GAUGAACGCUGGCGGCGUGCAUAACACAUUCAAGUCGAACGAAGCAUAUUAGUGAAUCCCUUCGGGGUGAAGCUGAUAUGACUUAGUGGCGGACGGGUGAGUAACGCGUGAGCAACCUGCCUUUCAUUGUGGGAUAACGACUGGAAACGGUCGCUAAUACCGCAUAAUGUAGCGAAGCCGCAUGACUUUGCUACCAAAGAUUUAUUGAUGAAAGAUGGGCUCGCGUCCGAUUAGGUAGUUGGUGGGGUAACGGCCUACCAAGCCGACGAUCGGUAGCCGGACUGAGAGGUUGAACGGCCACAUUGGGACUGAGACACGGCCCAGACUCCUACGGGAGGCAGCAGUGGGGAAUAUUGCACAAUGGGGGAAACCCUGAUGCAGCAACGCCGCGUGAGGGAAGACGGUUUUCGGAUUGUAAACCUCUGUCCUCUGUGAAGAAGAAAGUGACGGUAGCAGAGGAGGAAGCCACGGCUAACUACGUG
Molecule: ribosomal RNA, 482 nt
Filed under: uncultured bacterium
Lineage: Bacteria
Description: bacterial SSU rRNA
Rfam family: Bacterial small subunit ribosomal RNA
Source: RNAcentral